UACAGAGGGUGCGAGCGUUAAUCGGAAUUACUGGGCGUAAAGCGUGCGUAGACGGUUAUUUAAGUCGGGUGUGAAAUCCCCGGGCUCAACCCGGGAACUGCGUCCGAUACUGGCAGGCUUGAAUCCGGGAGAGGGAUGCGGAAUUCCAGGUGUAGCGGUGAAAUGCGUAGAUAUCUGGAGGAACACCGGUGGCGAAGGCGGCAUCCUGGACCGGCAUUGACGCUGAGGCGCGAAAGCCAGGGGAGCAAACGGG
RNAcentral lists this ribosomal RNA (253 nucleotides) under uncultured bacterium. RNAcentral's name for it is "partial 16S ribosomal RNA". It matches the Rfam family "Bacterial small subunit ribosomal RNA", at positions 524 to 776 of the family's 1533-position model. The record is from RNAcentral.